RNAcentral lists this long non-coding RNA (3652 nucleotides) under Gallus gallus (chicken). RNAcentral describes it as "lncRNA (ENSGALG00010014022.1)". The record is from RNAcentral. Lineage: Eukaryota; Metazoa; Chordata; Aves; Galliformes; Phasianidae.
AAAAAGGGGAAGGCAUCGACACAAAACGGGCUCGGCAAAAAACCUCUCGGAUCCUGGAAACGCGUCCUGGGACGGAGCUGGAGCACUGCUGCUGGGGCUUUGGGUGGCUGAUGGAGCUCUCCAGGCGUGCGGAGAAAGGCUGGGGACGCUUUGUCUGGAGAUGGAGUACAAUGAUCCUCAAGAUGGAGAGAGCUCUGCCAAUGCAAGAGCAUCCUGAAUGCCAACCUUGGGAAGUCUGUUGAGGGAACACUGGGGAAGCAAAUGCAGCCUGGCUCCACUCUAGGAGAAAGACAAUGAGAAGGGGAAGAAGCAUAUGAAUGUAGAAGACUGACUCCCACCUUGCACUAUGCUGCAUGCUAGGCAGGACCACACAUCACCUCCUUUUCACCUGAGUCAAUGGGUGCCACUUGCGGACAGGAACUAGGAGAUAGAUAGGAAGUGGGGAUGAGAACCUGUAAAGAGAUACCCUCUCAACUGAGCCCUGGUAUAGACAUCCCAUGCUGGAUGGUGCAGACAAGAGGAUGGACUGACAAGGGGAGACAGGAGUCAGGUCUUACAACUACAAAGAUCAGCAGUUGUGAUCCCAGCACCAGAGUCCCCUUACAGGACAAGGGUGAGUUUUGGUAGGGACAGCCAUGGCAUAGAAGGUCUUAGCCUGGACUCUGUCCCCCUGCAGCCCUACAGGCAGGAAAGUUGUCCUGCCUGUAAUGUCAACCCAGUGCGGAAGCAAGCCUUGACCCACUCUGGAUGCCCUUGAUGGUUACUCCCAAGGAACAAAUGUCUCAGCUGAACAUCUUGUGGCUGCUAUGGUUUCCAGAGUAGGUUCCAAAAAAAAAAACAGGGACUUGCUUGAAGAGUGCCAGCCUGCACCGAAGUGGGUUGAUUGUCGUGUGGGUCCCAAGGCUGCCCUAUGAACAGGUAGAGCCACAGCUAAAAGACUUUCCCUCCUCCCUGCUGAAAACGUACUCACAUGUAUUUCUCCUCUCACUUUUUCUCCAUACCCAAACAGCAUUCACGCAAGGAGGGUGAGCUGGGGAAAACAGCAUCAAUUAAACAUCUACUUCUCUGUGAGGAGCACUUCAUGUGACAGUGGCAGCCACCUCACCACCCAGCCCUGACAGUCACAACACUGGGGUGGUGACAGGGAGAGACUGCAAGAGCAGAGGGUCUCCUAGACAUGACAAACUUGCCAUGCUCUUCUCAACAAGUAUGCAGAAAAUCAGCAUGAGAUAAGGCAUACAGAACAGUUUCUUUCCCUUCUUUCUUUUUUUUUUUUUGUCCGAGCAAUACAUAUCUGCAAAAGAUAGACUCAAAAGUCCCAGUAUUCAGAACUUCUGCUAUGCAGUCGAUCCAGCUGAAAAGCGAACAAACAAACAAACAAAAAAAGAAAAAAGAAAAAAAAGAGAGAGAGAGAGAAACCUUUCUGAAAUCACACUUAGUAAUUUUCCAGCAGAUCUACAAAAGGAAGCUUUUAUUCUUUUGGUUGUGCAUGUCUCCUCAGAAAGCAAAAGGCCUCAUCUGAUACCGAAACAGGUCACGCUGGUUAUUUAAAUUUUGGUUGUGAGAACACUUGCUCAUGUGUCCUUCCCUGCUCAAGGAAUGGUCUUAGCUUAAUGAAGCCACUAACUUCGCUCUAUAGAGCUAAGUGUUUUCUUUUAAUUUCUCCUUCGCUCUUGGAAGACCACUCAUGCUCAACACUGCACAUGUGCAAACAUGUAGAGACAAACAUUUUCUUUUCUCUCCUCCCCCGCACCAGCAUCUUCUGCCCAUAUGGGACAGAUAAUCCCUUUUCAUAUCAGCUCAUCUUCUUCUUUCAACACAGUUUCCUUGACAUCCCAAAUUACAACCAAAUGGAGGAACGGAGGAAUGAGCCUGAAAUCAAUUUCAGAUCACUCAAAAGAAAUAGAUUUAUAGCAAAGAUAAAUCAGCAAAACCUUUGAGGGUAGAUCCCUGAAUUCUUGCCGCAAUCCCUGACAUAUUUAGUACCUGUUGAUAGAGGCUAAGACAGCACCUAGUCACUGAGGCAAGGGGCUGGGACACGCGCAGAGGUCAUCUUCCCCAUGGGUGGUGGUGGGAUGAGCAUCCCUUGCAAUGGAAGGGUUUGGGUCAAGAGUGUCUGUAGGAGCAUCCCCAAUGAGGCAUGGAGCAUCAUCCUGUGUGUCCCACGUGGGACAGGUGGGAUAAGGGAGGUCCAACACUUGUGGCUGCUUUUAAACACAGGUAAAGGAUGCCCUGAGCACCCCAGCUGGAUUUUUAGCCCCACGUGGUUAACAAGAGCUUCUUAAGAGUUAUCUAGGAGAUAAUCCAGAAAUUCCCUAACUGUGAGGAACUAUAAGAAACAGUACAAUCGCUGGUAGCAUUCUGGGGUGCAUUAAAAAUAUUAUAGCCAGCAUGUUUGAUGGAGACUGUCCUCCCCUUCUACUUGCCCUUGUAAGGCCACAUCUGUAGUACUGUGUCCAGUUCUGGGUUCUUCAGUUCAAGAAAGACAUGGAACUUCUAGAGAGAGCCCAGUGGAGGGCCACAAAGAUGAUGAGCCCAGAGCAUCUCCAUUAUGAGGAAAAGCUGAGAGACCUGGGACUAUUCAGCAUGGAGAAGACUGCUUAUAAAUAUCUAAUGGGUGGGUGACAAGUGGGUGGGGCCAGGCUCUUUUUGGUGGUGCCCAGUAACAAAACAAGGGGCAAUGAGCACAAACUGGAACAUAGGAAGUUCCACUUGAACAUGAGGAUAAACUUCUUUACUGUGAGGGUGGCAGAGCACUGGAACAGGCUACCCAGAGGGGUUGUGGAGUUGCCUUCUCUGGAGAUAUUCAAAACCUGCCUGGACACCUGCCUGCGCGACCUGCUGUAGGGAGACUGCUUUAGCAGGGAUUGGACUCGGUGGUCUCCAGAGGUCCCUUCCAACCUCUCUGAUUCUGUGAUUCUGUAAAACGAGCCACCAAACUCAUCCCAAAGAGACACGCACAGGAGCCAAAUCACUGCCCAUACUAACACAGUUAGUAUGUACAUACUGCACAUAUAGGGGAGUAAUGGCUUUGCAGAGUCAAGACUUUUUGAGACUGACGAGUGGGAAGUCAAGGCCAGAGGUUGCCAGGAAGCCAGAAGCUGCCCCAGCAGUAGCACCAGUGGGCGAGGAAGUGCACAGCUAGUUUGGCCAUUAACUCAAAUGCACACUUAGAUAAGAGGAAAACAGUGCAUUUGGUGGCGAGAGGGGCCCGAUGGCAUCUGCCAAAGCUACCAGCAAAAUGCCUGCUCACUCCAGGAAGAGCAGAUUUGUUUCUGGAUCCUAUGAAGGAAAAUGCUGACAUUAAGCCUAAAUUUUCCACAUUUUUUUUUCUUUCUAGACACGUUUGAAUCUUUUCACUUGAUUAACACCGAAUUUCAAUAUUUCAUGAAGUUAAUGCCCAGGGAAAAAACAAAUCUUACACUAGUAUGUACUUAUAUCAAAGAUCCCAACUCCAGUUAAUUUCACGAGGAAAAAAGAGAAAAAAAAAAAAAAAAAGAAAGAAAUCACAGCCCUGAGAAUUGCAUCGUGUUGCCAGUUAUGUUCAUCUCUCUUUCUGGAGACUUCGCUUGGCUUGGACAUCAACAGGACUACUUCAGGAAUGAGGCACUUUUUAGCAUGGGGAAGGGUAAUAAAACUCAGUCUUUUGUUU